CCGGGCCGUACGCGGCCGGUUAUCAUUUUAAAUUCAUUACCGUGCAACCCAAUUGCGCGGGUUCGGAGAGUCGCACGAACCAAUAACUCUUUGCUUCAUCCAACGGCGGGAUAAUGGUCGCACGGGCCAACUUCGCUCUCUGACACGCACCAAUGCUGUUAAGUUAUUGCUGUCUAGCUCGGAAUCGGACUCGCGAUAAACCGAUUUCCAACGAUCGGGAACAUUCCGCGGAAUAAAAGAUCGUUUAGUGGAUGCAAAAAAACAUAAAAAAGAAAGGAAACGAGGAGACACAUCGUAAAAAGGGCGAUUACGAUGUUCGUAUUCGCUGAGGCGGAAUAUUCAUGCUGGAGAAUGGAAGUUUAAAUGUUGAACGUUGGACACGUUCGACCGGAAAUAAGAUGCCACAGCCUGACGAUUUGAUGAUUCUCGAUCACGCUCGAUCCUACUCAAUUUAUACCUUCGGAAAAGUUGAAAAUUGGAUCGGGCUCGGUGAACGGGUAAACCUCGCUACGAAUUGUAAUAAGCUUCGACGUGUAUCUGGAUAUUAUUGUACGAAUAUAGAUAGAUUUAACGAACGAGUUAACGUAGUAAGAGUACUUAUUUCCGAAACUGCAGCUAGCCUGAUACGACUGACAACUGCUGGCGAAGUUAAUGUCUGAGAUGAACCGUCUGAACGGAAAAUUAAUAAAAGCAACGAGACAGUAAACUGCAGUAAUAUCGAAUGCCUGACGUCUCUUCGUCAGAAGUGGAAAAAAUACAGAGAUAUUUGAAGAUGACGACGACAUGCACGCAUUCGCACAAAACUCACAAAGUUAACAUCUGAGUUGUAAAUGUAUGAUCGAAUAAAAUUGACUGUAUAUGUAAAAUCAACUGCACCAAGGCAGAAAAAUGCGACAAACGACUGAUGCAAUCGAGCGAUUCACGUUUCUUCGUUUCAGCAAAAAUGUUUGCAGAUGAUGAUAUCUAAAUACUAAUAUUUGGAUAAAACUGAAUUUAACGCCGAACGUACGUUGUAGAAGCUUCCUUGAUAUAAUUCAUUGAUAAAAUUAAUAUCUAAAGUGCGUAUCUCGUCGACUCGCAACGAGGCGGAAGACUGCAACAAGAGCUAACGCAAUCGAGUGACUUGCGUUUCUUCGUUUCAGCGAAGAAAAUACGGAGAUGUUUGAUGCCACCUUAAACCUUUCUCGAGAACAAACAAGAUAGUUUAUCGCCGCGCGGAUAUAAACGCUUCUCUCGACAGAGUCGCGGAAAUUGUACGCUUAAAGGCAAGCACUGUACGUUACUGGCUUUCUUCGAGUUCUACACGGUCCGUGGUUUCGAAGCAAACUCGCACAUUUACUUUCGGCCUGUCUGUCUGGAGAUUUUCGUGCUGCAUAUAAUGUCUUGAGCAUGUAACGGCUGCUACGAACACUAACUCAAUCGUUCUCCUAUGUACAGGUCGUAUCUGUAUUCAUUUCAGAACUCCUAAUCGCUUUAAAGCUGUCUACAACUAAACCGAGUCAAUUAUCCUGUCAACUCUCUACUCUGAAUCCUCUUACCUGAUGGAAAUUAUAGCGCUACAUUUGGUAACACCGAGCGAGAUUCAUCUUUAAAGCCAACGAGACAAAUUUUUAUCGUUUCGUAAAUCUAACUUCAGAAGCUAAUUCACUUCGAUCGAUGUCCAGACAUCGAUGAAAAAGCGUACUUCCGUUCGUCACGCCAAAAACGAAACGGUGGAACCAUUUAUUUCGCUCGCCAGACCCGACACAGUGGUUUAAUUUAUCUCGACAGGCGGUCUUGCAGGGAGACAAACACAAAAGCACGCACGGAAAGCUAACGACGGAAAUUAUUAUCGUUUCGUCGUAGUCGAACGUAAGUAGAUUUACUCGACAACGCUGUUUAAUCUUAAUUGUAGACUACAUUGCCGAAACUGCAGAGAGGAAGCAAUCAGAUUCGAAAAAAUAUUACGAAAUACGUGUUGGAGCACGGUUCUUUGUUCUUCGAAUUGAAGACCACGAUUACAAUAUUCACGUUUCAAAAAUUAUCCGCAAUUGAUUUGCAAUUAUUAACGUGCAGUCUUACUGAAAAUUUUUACCUGUGAAAUUUUCAUUGUCAUCGUAAUAUUCACAUACAUUCUUUUUGAGGCGUUUCACGAUAUCAACGUUAUCCUUUUAAUCAGCAUAUGCGCAGCUUAAUUUGCUUUCAAAUAAAUUGAGAGAUACGACCUA
Long non-coding RNA from Frieseomelitta varia, 2207 nucleotides. RefSeq lists it as uncharacterized. NCBI's taxonomy places the organism in Eukaryota, Metazoa, Arthropoda, Insecta, Hymenoptera, Apidae. The record is from RefSeq and is a predicted model, not a curated record. The transcript has 4 exons.